RNAcentral lists this long non-coding RNA (1496 nucleotides) under Anas platyrhynchos platyrhynchos (common mallard). RNAcentral describes it as "lncRNA (ENSAPLG00000019192.1)". The record is from RNAcentral. Lineage: Eukaryota; Metazoa; Chordata; Aves; Anseriformes; Anatidae.
GCACUGUGGUAGUAUCCUUCUGCCCCUGCUCUGAGGGACCCCGUUGGUAUUACAGCGAUGAAGAAGCUCCCACAGUUCUGGAUGCAGAGGUGAGUCUUUGUUCUUCAUUUCUCUACAUGCUGAAAAAUCUGCAAGGUGGCCAAAUCAGCAAAACCACAACUGAUUGAUGCACCGAGGCUUGAAGAAAAGCUUACCUUGGAAGCUUCACGCUGUUACACCAACCAGCUCCUGCAUUCACUGCCCAGAGAUAACUGGUACCAGCACAGGAACACGUAGCUAUGCUCUGCGACCAGCUGUCAACACAUUCCGGAAAGAGCAGGAUUUUAAAUUAAAAGUGUGCACAGGAGCUAUAGAAAAACAGAGGUGGUACGUGAAACAUCUGUUACAGUCAUUUCACCAGAACGGCAAGAUUGCUCCCGUCCGUGCCCCACAGCUGCUUAAAGUAAGACAAAGAGCAGCAUACCAGAAAGAGUACAACAGCUACAAAAACUCACAGUCCUGGGCAGCACAAGGGACAGGCUGUCACCAGCCCCCAAACCUCCUUGCUGCUCAGAGGCAGCAAUGCUAGGGCUCACAAACUCGGAUUUGCCUUCAUCGCCCCAGGAUCUAGUCCCAAGCCCCACAGAGCUGAGAGCAAAGAGGCUGCACCCCCAGAGACCCAUGGGCAGGGUAAGCAGGUCCCCUGCUGCACUGAGAGUGAAGGCAGAAGACCCUUGCAGUACUCUGACCACUGCUGCAGUGACUGAGGCUGCCACGAACGGGUGUGAGCCUUCCCAACGCUUCUCACAUCUCCCCUUUCUGUAAACAAAAUGUCUGUUGAAGAGCAGAAGCUGAGAAAUGAGUAACAAACCUCUUUGGAAAUCUCUGGGCUCUUCAGAAACAUCAGGAGUCUUUGCAAUAUUUUAUUUUUUAAAUACCUCUUCAUGUAUGCAACACUGAAAUGCUUCAUCUCAGGCUUCCGACCUGCCACAGGCUGCACGCAGCUCAAGGGCUUUGGCAGGCAGAACGUCUGUCUCAGGAGCACAUGGAGAGCAGAGCACCCAGCUGAAGUGCGGUGGUGCCCACCUAACCUCAUGGACCCAGCUGACCCUUGCACACCACCUCUGUGCAAUUCCCUUUGCUUCAGGAUGUCACCCUAUUGCCAGCACAGAACACCAGACCCAACAAACUGGCCGUCUACUAUCACAUUCCCAAGGCAAAGAACUGUCCUGAUGCCACUGACUGCAGCCUGGUGUUUCGCAUGGCGUGUGGGCCUGUCAGCACAGUCUUCUGAGAGGGCUCUAAGCUCUCAGGAUUGAGCCAGAUCCAAGGACACUCAGCCUCACCGGCCAUAUCCGCUAGCACAAGCACAGUUCAGAUCAUUGGUUCCCUGCUGCACGUGGAUAUCACGGAAUCACAGAAUUGUCUAGAUUGGAAGAGACCUCCAAGAUCACCUAGUCCAUCCUCUGACCUAACACUAACAGUCCCCACUAAACCAUAUCGCUAAGCUCUACAUC